CUGCACCGAUCAUUUCUUGAUGCGGAAGCUCAUAUCUGGUAUGAGUAAGGGCAAGCGCAACUCUGACACUCGCAAACCUAUUACAGUCUGUUAUGUGUAUGGGUGUAUGCUUUUAUAUGUUUGUUAGUAUAUCAGAUGCAUUUAGACUUGAAUUGAAACAAGAAGGCUUGGGUUGCGUAACUUUGCUUGAAUACUACACCUGGGGAGCUGGCUGCCUGAGCGGGUUAAGUAAUUAUGUAACAAGUGAAGCUUGUAGCUAAUCAGCAUUAUAGUAUAAGGUUGGGGGGAUUCAAAAAUAGUUAGGUUUUUCUGCUUCUUGGGUGUUGGCCAGACCUGUAUUUUAACCUCCUCAUUUUUAAUGUUAAAGUUCAGAACACUGUGUGAGAGAUUGUAUCCCAUGUCGGGGCUUGUGAAACUGAACUAGAAAUCAUGCUGAUAUUUGCAAACGUGUGCCUUGGAAAACUUGCAGUGUGAGCUUAUGUGCAACUAUGGAUAUAUGUGUUUUCGUGGACCAAGGAGUGGAGUGAACAAUCAAACAUGGAAAUCAGGGUCAAGUUACCGGGGCCCAGUGCUUCCUGGCAGAGAGCCGGUCUGGCUGGAUUUCCAAUUACUUGUGGAUGGCUCGCAGUGGGAUGUUGUGGCAAGACUGGCCAGCAUCCCAGGGCCAUACUUAUACAUCUGGGCUCAAACGAUAUUUGCAAGUGGAAGGCCAGCCAGCUGUACCUAGACAUUCACCUUGCUAUGUUGAGGCUGCAUCUGUUAAUGCCUCAGACCACCAUCCUUUGGUCCGACAUGCAUGAUGCUGCCAAGGAGGCACUGGCAUGGAGCCAAUUGCUAUGAUGCUGUGGAGAUGGCCAGGGAGAAGGUCAACAGACGGUUGGACAACUGGGUCAGGGAGCUUGGUUGGGUGCACAUUCAGCAUCCCAAGGUUUGUGCUGGGGACAGUUCCCUGUAUGUCUGGAACAGGGUGCACCUCUCAGUCAAAGGACUGCAAAUCUUGAUAAGCUCAAUCCGCGAAGAACUGAUGCCAAAUGUAGGUAGCAGGUAAACAAGCAAGUGACACUAAAUUCUUUCUUCUGUGGCUAGUUAGGGGGUCCC
Molecule: RNA transcript, 1098 nt
Organism: Haliotis rufescens (red abalone)
Lineage: Eukaryota; Metazoa; Mollusca; Gastropoda; Lepetellida; Haliotidae
Exons: 2
Source: RefSeq, a predicted model, not a curated record